Molecule: ribosomal RNA, 472 nt
Filed under: uncultured bacterium
Lineage: Bacteria
Description: bacterial SSU rRNA
Rfam family: Bacterial small subunit ribosomal RNA
Source: RNAcentral
UGGGGAAUAUUGGACAAUGGGCGAAAGCCUGAUCCAGCCAUGCCGCGUGUGUGAAGAAGGUCUUCGGAUUGUAAAGCACUUUAAGUUGGGAGGAAGGGCAGUAACCUAAUACGUUUCUGUCUUGACGUUACCGACAGAAUAAGCACCGGCUAACUCUGUGCCAGCAGCCGCGGUAAUACAGAGGGUGCAAGCGUUAAUCGGAAUUACUGGGCGUAAAGCGCGCGUAGGUGGUUAGUUAAGUUGGAUGUGAAAUCCCCGGGCUCAACCUGGGAACUGCAUUCAAAACUGACUGACUAGAGUAUGGUAGAGGGUGGUGGAAUUUCCUGUGUAGCGGUGAAAUGCGUAGAUAUAGGAAGGAACACCAGUGGCGAAGGCGACCACCUGGACUGAUACUGACACUGAGGUGCGAAAGCGUGGGGAGCAAACAGGAUUAGAUACCCCCGUAGUCCCUGAGCGGGCUGGCAAGGCGCAU